RNAcentral lists this ribosomal RNA (429 nucleotides) under Chloroflexota bacterium. RNAcentral describes it as "Chloroflexi bacterium partial 16S ribosomal RNA". It matches the Rfam family "Bacterial small subunit ribosomal RNA", at positions 355 to 776 of the family's 1533-position model. Lineage: Bacteria; Bacillati; Chloroflexota. The record is from RNAcentral.
UGGGGAAUAUUGCACAAUGGGCGCAAGCCUGAUGCAGCCAUGCCGCGUGUGUGAAGAAGGCCUUCGGGUUGUAAAGUACUUUCAGUCGGGAGGAAGGUGGUAAGGUUAAUAACCUUAUCAAUUGACGUUACCGACAGAAGAAGCACCGGCUAACUCCGUGCCAGCAGCCGCGGUAAUACGGAGGGUGCAAGCGUUAAUCGGAAUUACUGGGCGUAAAGCGCACGCAGGCGGUUGAUUGAGUCAGAUGUGAAAUCCCCGGGCUUAACCCGGGAAUUGCAUCUGAUACUGGUCAGCUAGAGUCUUGUAGAGGGGGGUAGAAUUCCAUGUGUAGCGGUGAAAUGCGUAGAGAUGUGGAGGAAUACCGGUGGCGAAGGCGGCCCCCUGGACAAAGACUGACGCUCAGGUGCGAAAGCGGGGGGAGCAAACAGG